Molecule: ribosomal RNA, 375 nt
Filed under: uncultured organism
Description: partial 16S ribosomal RNA
Rfam family: Bacterial small subunit ribosomal RNA
Source: RNAcentral
GUAGGUGGCAAGCGUUGUCCGGAAUUAUUGGGGCGUAAAGCGCGCGCAGGCGGUUCGUUUAAGUCUGAUGUGAAAGCCCACGGGCUCAACCGUGGAGGGUCAUUGGAAACUGGAGAACUUGAGUACAGAAGAGGAAAGCGGAAUUCCACGUGUAGCGGUGAAAUGCGUAGAGAUGUGAAGGAACACCAGUGGCGAAGGCGGCUUUCUGGUCUGUAACUGACGCUGAGGCGCGAAAGCGUGGGGAGCAAACAGGAUUAGAUACCCUGGUAGUCCACGCCGUAAACGAUGAGUGCUAAGUGUUAGGGGGUUUCCGCCCCUUAGUGCUGCAGCUAACGCAUUAAGCACUCCGCCUGGGGAGUACGGCCGCAAAGGCUG